CGAACGGGUGAGUAACGCGUGAGGAACCUGCCUCAAAGAGGGGGACAACAGUUGGAAACGGCUGCUAAUACCGCAUAAGCCCACGGCUCGGCAUCGAGCAGAGGGAAAAGGAGCAAUCCGCUUUGAGACGGCCUCGCGUCCGAUUAGCUAGUUGGUGAGGUAAUGGCCCACCAAGGCAACGAUCGGUAGCCGGACUGAGAGGUUGAACGGCCACAUUGGGACUGAGACACGGCCCAG
RNAcentral lists this ribosomal RNA (237 nucleotides) under uncultured bacterium. RNAcentral's name for it is "partial 16S ribosomal RNA". It matches the Rfam family "Bacterial small subunit ribosomal RNA", at positions 99 to 334 of the family's 1533-position model. The record is from RNAcentral.